AAAUGAUUCUAUAAAAAGUAAUUAAGCUCAAGUAGCGAAAAAAACUUACAUUUUAAGAAAACUUUAAUUGAACUUGAUUGUACAACUGUAAAAACUGCAGCAGCAUAUAGAACAAAAGGCAUGAAAUAUAAUCUAAAUUUUUUGUAAUAAACCCAGAAUGAAAUACAUGCAAAUAAAUACAGCAAAAGAACUAUAUGAAGUAGUCUAAGAAAGGACUGUUUCAGCUCAAGAAGCACUGUUUCAGUUCAGGCUCACCAACAUCUUAAUAACAAAAACUUUUGCAGGCUAUUGCUUAAGGGAACAAAUUUUGAAUAUUUGGGAGGGGAAAACAAAAGCGAAAAAAGAGACUUCUCAAUACUGUCCAAACUUGUAAUAGUCUACAUCAUUUCCUCCACUAUAUCAUAUUGGUGAUCUGCAGGGGUUCUCUUAAUAAAACAACUCUAGUUUUUGCAUCAAAAUAUAUGAGAAAUUUCAAUUGACUAUUUGUCAUAAUUUAAUCUCACAUAUACUUUGCCACAACAAAUUAGAGUAUUAUUUUGACAAUGAACCAAAUUAUAUUACUAAACUAUUGGGCAUAAUUUUACUAAUUUGUACUAUUUGUCCUAAUUUGGCAAUGCACCAAAUUUUACGCCACAUAUAAUCCAAUAUAAGUUAGACCAUGAUUUCUCUAUUUAAGUUGUAGAUUCUUUUGUAUAAUCAGAAUACUUGCCAUGUUUCUUUACCUUUUAUCUCAAUUAGUAUCAUUUAUAUAUUAAUACAAUCAUGAUUUUAAUCAUGCAAAUAUUCACAAUUUGUAACUUUCUUUCGCUUACUAAAUAGAUA
RNAcentral lists this long non-coding RNA (822 nucleotides) under Ananas comosus (pineapple). RNAcentral describes it as "long non-coding RNA (ACOM_LNC005893)". Lineage: Eukaryota; Viridiplantae; Streptophyta; Magnoliopsida; Poales; Bromeliaceae. The record is from RNAcentral.